GCGCCUGUAGCUCAGGUGGAGAGAGCGGGGGCCUUCUAAGCCCUGUCUUGCGGGGGUUCGAGUCCUCCCAGGCGCACCA
This 79-nucleotide transfer RNA is filed under the name Bacillota bacterium. Its description in RNAcentral is "Firmicutes bacterium (anaerobic digester metagenome) tRNA-Arg". It matches the Rfam family "tRNA". Rfam says of the family: Transfer RNA (tRNA) molecules are approximately 80 nucleotides in length. Their secondary structure includes four short double-helical elements and three loops (D, anti-codon, and T loops). Lineage: Bacteria; Bacillati; Bacillota. The record is from RNAcentral. RNAcentral also lists the same sequence under 1 other name.